This 486-nucleotide ribosomal RNA is filed under the name uncultured Microbacterium sp. RNAcentral describes it as "partial 16S ribosomal RNA". Lineage: Bacteria; Bacillati; Actinomycetota; Actinomycetes; Micrococcales; Microbacteriaceae. The record is from RNAcentral.
UACGUAGUUAGCCGGCGCUUUUUCUGCAGGUACCGUCACUUUCGCUUCUUCCCUGCUAAAAGAGGUUUACAACCCGAAGGCCGUCAUCCCUCACGCGGCGUUGCUGCAUCAGGCUUGCGCCCAUUGUGCAAUAUUCCCCACUGCUGCCUCCCGUAGGAGUCUGGGCCGUGUCUCAGUCCCAGUGUGGCCGGUCACCCUCUCAGGCCGGCUACCCGUCGACGCCUUGGUGAGCCAUUACCUCACCAACAAGCUGAUAGGCCGCGAGCCCAUCCCCAACCGAAAUUCUUUCCAGACGCAGACCAUGCGGUCACGUCACAUAUCCAGUAUUAGACGCCGUUUCCAGCGCUUAUCCCAGAGUCAGGGGCAGGUUGCUCACGUGUUACUCACCCGUUCGCCACUGAUCCACCCAGCAAGCUGGGCUUCACCGUUCGACUUGCAUGUGUUAAGCACGCCGCCAGCGUUCAUCCUGAGCCAGGAUCAAACUCU